RNAcentral lists this ribosomal RNA (465 nucleotides) under Vreelandella stevensii. RNAcentral describes it as "partial 16S ribosomal RNA". It matches the Rfam family "Bacterial small subunit ribosomal RNA", at positions 338 to 795 of the family's 1533-position model. The record is from RNAcentral. Lineage: Bacteria; Pseudomonadati; Pseudomonadota; Gammaproteobacteria; Oceanospirillales; Halomonadaceae.
CCUACGGGGGGCAGCAGUGGGGAAUAUUGGACAAUGGGGGGAACCCUGAUCCAGCCAUGCCGCGUGUGUGAAGAAGGCCCUCGGGUUGUAAAGCACUUUCAGUGAGGAAGAACGCCUGGUGGUUAAUACCCAUCAGGAAAGACAUCACUCACAGAAGAAGCACCGGCUAACUCCGUGCCAGCAGCCGCGGUAAUACGGAGGGUGCGAGCGUUAAUCGGAAUUACUGGGCGUAAAGCGCGCGUAGGUGGCUUGAUAAGCCGGUUGUGAAAGCCCCGGGCUCAACCUGGGAACGGCAUCCGGAACUGUCAAGCUAGAGUGCAGGAGAGGAAGGUAGAAUUCCCGGUGUAGCGGUGAAAUGCGUAGAGAUCGGGAGGAAUACCAGUGGCGAAGGCGGCCUUCUGGACUGACACUGACACUGAGGUGCGAAAGCGUGGGAAGCAAACAGGAUUAGAUACCCGAGUAGUC